CGCCUUGCCAGCCCGCUCAGAACUUAAAGGAAUUGACGGGGCCGCACAAGCGGUGGAGCAUGUGGUUUAAUUCGAUGAUACGCGAGGAACCUUACCUGGGCUCGAACGUAAGAUGACUGUAGGUGAAAGCUUACAUCUCUUCGGAGCAUUUUACGAGGUGCUGCAUGGUUGUCGUCAGCUCGUGCCGUGAGGUGUCGGGUUAAGUCCCAUAACGAGCGCAACCCCUACCUUUAGUUGCCAUCAGGUUAAGCUGGGGACUCUAAAGGAACUGCCUACGCAAGUAGUGAGGAAGGCGGGGAUGACGUCAAAUCAGCACGGCCCUUACGUCCAGGGCUACACACGUGCUACAAUGGCCGAUACAGAGGGCAGCUACCUGGUGACAGGAUGCAAAUCUCCAAAGUCGGUCUCAGUUCGGAUCGGAGUCUGCAACCCGACUCCGUGAAGUUGGAUUCGCUAGUAAUCGCGCAUCAGCCAUGGCGCGGUGAAUACGUUCCCGGGCCUU
Molecule: ribosomal RNA, 502 nt
Filed under: uncultured Sphingobacteriales bacterium
Lineage: Bacteria; Pseudomonadati; Bacteroidota; Sphingobacteriia; Sphingobacteriales
Description: bacterial SSU rRNA
Rfam family: Bacterial small subunit ribosomal RNA
Source: RNAcentral